AGAAUUAUUUAAAAAGCAAGCAGCCUUAUUACUGAUCUGGAAAAAGUUUUAGUGAUCUGUAUAGAAGAUCAAACUAGCCACAACAUUCCUUUAAGCUAAAGCCUAAUCCAGAGCAAAG
Molecule: long non-coding RNA, 118 nt
Organism: Sapajus apella (tufted capuchin)
Lineage: Eukaryota; Metazoa; Chordata; Mammalia; Primates; Cebidae
Exons: 3
Source: RefSeq, a predicted model, not a curated record